RNAcentral lists this small nuclear RNA (330 nucleotides) under Papio anubis (olive baboon). Its description in RNAcentral is "7SK RNA". It matches the Rfam family "7SK RNA". Rfam says of the family: 7SK was discovered as an abundant small nuclear RNA in the mid-70s but a possible function has only recently been suggested. Two independent studies have found that 7SK RNA binds the CDK9/cyclin T complex (known as elongation factor P-TEFb). The record is from Rfam by way of RNAcentral. Lineage: Eukaryota; Metazoa; Chordata; Mammalia; Primates; Cercopithecidae. RNAcentral also lists the same sequence under 1 other name.
GGAUGUGAGGGCAAUCUGGCUGCAAUAUCUUUCACCCCAUUGAUUUCCAGGGUUGAUUUGGUUGAUCUGGCUGGCUAGGCAGAUGUCUCCUUCUUCCCUCACCACUCCAUGUGUAUCCCUACCAAAGCUGUGCACUCGGUCAAAGAGGACAGCCAUCCCUGAUAGAGAAGGACUGGUCUUCAGUCAAGGGUAUAUCAGUAGCUAUGUCCCCUUCUAGAACCUCCAAAUAAGCUCUCAAGGUCAAUUUGUAGGAGAACAUAGUGUAGUCAAGCUUCCAAGACUCCAGACACAUCCAAAUGAGGUGCUGCAUGUGGCAGUUUGCCUUUCUAA